AGAGUUUGAUCCUGGCUCAGAUUGAACGCUGGCGGUAUGCUUAACACAUGCAAGUCGAACGGAAACGAAACUAGCUUGCUAGUAGGCGUCGAGUGGCGGACGGGUGAGUAACGCGUAGGAAUCUGCCUGAUAGUGGGGGAUAGCCCGAAGAAAUUCGGAUUAAUACCGCAUAAUCUAUUCGUAGUAAAGUGGGGGACUUUCGAGCCUCACGCUAUCAGAUGAGCCUGCGUAAGAUUAGCUUGUUGGUAGGGUAAAAGCCUACCAAGGCAACGAUCUUUAGCUGGUCUGAGAGGAUGAUCAGCCACAUCGGGACUGAGACACGGCCCGAACUCCUACGGGAGGCAGCAGUGGGGAAUAUUGGACAAUGGGGGCAACCCUGAUCCAGCAAUACCGCGUGUGUGAAGAAGGCCCGAGGGUUGUAAAGCACUUUCAAUUGUGAAGAAAAGUUAGCGGUUAAUAACCGUUGACCUUGACGUUAACUAUAGAAGAAGCACCGGCUAACUCCGUGCCAGCAGCCGCGGUAAUACGGAGGGUGCAAGCGUUAAUCGGAAUUACUGGGCGUAAAGCGUGCGUAGGCGGUUUAUUAAGUCAGAUGUGAAAGCCCCGGGCUUAACCUGGGAACUGCAUUUGAAACUGGUCAACUAGAGUAUGGUAGAGGAAAGUGGAAUUUCUGGUGUAGCGGUGAAAUGCGUAGAUAUCAGAAGGAACAUCAAUGGCGAAGGCAGCUUUCUGGACCAAUACUGACGCUGAGGUACGAAAGCGUGGGUAGCAAACAGGAUUAGAUACCCUGGUAGUCCACGCCGUAAACGAUGAUAACUAGCCGUUGGGGGGAUUUACCCUUUAGUGGCGAAGCUAACGCGUUAAGUUAUCCGCCUGGGGAGUACGGCCGCAAGGCUAAAACUCAAAGGAAUUGACGGGGACCCGCACAAGCGGUGGAGCAUGUGGUUUAAUUCGAUGCAACGCGAAGAACCUUACCUGGUCUUGACAUCCUGCGAACUUUCUAGAAAUAGAUUGGUGCCUUCGGGAACGCAGUGACAGGUGCUGCAUGGCUGUCGUCAGCUCGUGUCGUGAGAUGUUGGGUUAAGUCCCGUAACGAGCGCAACCCCUAUCUUUAUUUGCCAGCACAUUAUGGUGGGAACUAUAAGGAGACUGCCGGUGAUAAACCGGAGGAAGGCGGGGACGACGUCAAGUCAUCAUGGCCCUUACGACCAGGGCUACACACGUGCUACAAUGGGAAGGACAAAGAGCCGCGAAGCCGCGAGGUGUAGCUAAUCUCAUAAAUCUUUUCGUAGUCCGGAUUGGAGUCUGCAACUCGACUCCAUGAAGUCGGAAUCGCUAGUAAUCGUGAAUCAGCACGCCACGGUGAAUACGUUCCCGGGCCUUGUACACACCGCCCGUCACACCACGAAAGUCGAUUGUACCGGAAGUCAUGAUGCCAACCCGCAAGGGAGGCUGCUGCCUAUGGUAUGGUUGGUGAUCAGGGUGAAGUCGUAACAAGGUAACC
RNAcentral lists this ribosomal RNA (1504 nucleotides) under uncultured bacterium. RNAcentral's name for it is "bacterial SSU rRNA". It matches the Rfam family "Bacterial small subunit ribosomal RNA". The record is from RNAcentral.